GACGAACGCUGGCGGCGUGCUUAACACAUGCAAGUCGAGCGGUAAGGCCCUUUCGGGGGUACACGAGCGGCGAACGGGUGAGUAACACGUGGGUGACCUGCCCUCAGCUCUGGGAUAAGCCUGGGAAACCGGGUCUAAUACCGGAUAUGACUCCAUGACGCAUGUUGUGGGGUGGAAAGCCUUGUGUGGCUAUAGAUGGGCCCGCGGCCUAUCAGCUUGUUGGUGGGGUGAUGGCCUACCAAGGCGACGACGGGUAGCCGGCCUGAGAGGGCGACGGCCACACUGGGACUGAGACACGGCCCAGACUCCUACGGGAGGCAGCAGUGGGGAAUCUUGCGCAAUGGGCGAAAGCCUGACGCAGCGACGCCGCGUGAGGGAUGACGGCC
Molecule: ribosomal RNA, 386 nt
Filed under: uncultured bacterium
Lineage: Bacteria
Description: bacterial SSU rRNA
Rfam family: Bacterial small subunit ribosomal RNA
Source: RNAcentral